Molecule: non-coding RNA, 664 nt
Organism: Struthio camelus australis
Lineage: Eukaryota; Metazoa; Chordata; Aves; Struthioniformes; Struthionidae
Source: RefSeq, a predicted model, not a curated record
AGGGAAGCAGCCCUGCUCGGCGCCAGGGCUGCGGCGCAGCCGGCGCGCAGGUUCCUGUGCAGCCCCGGCAGAGCAAACUUGCCGAGUCAGGAGGCGAGAGCGGCAGCAGACGGCUUUGCUGCAGUCAUGGCAAAGGGCUCUGCUUUCCUCCUGGCCCUGCGCGCUCACUGAAUUUCCGUCUGGCCUGAAACUAGGCUCAUCAGCUGAAUAUUUUUUCAGGGAAUGAAAGGGAAUGGGGUAAAAAUCAUAAUACCAGCUAUAUCUACCUCCAGCUUUCUUGAUUGCGCACAGUUGCUCUGGACCGGCACUUUACACUGUCUUCCAAAAUCUGUAGAGCCUCCAUCUCUGCCAGUUUGUUUUCUGUCUUCAGUUGAUGCUAUUUUUUCCCUUUUUUUUUUCCUCCUAACUGCACAUCUUCAUUACUGGGAAAAAAACUUUCAAAGUUGGGGUUGGAUUUGUGUGCCUUCAGAUCAUACAAGUGAGAAAGUAAAAUAGAAAACUGAUCUUGAAAACUGAGGCUGGCUCCAUGUAUCCGGAAUCGACCACUGACUCCCCUGCUAGACUCUCGCUGAGACAGACGGGCUCUCCAGGGAUGAUUUACAGCGCUAGGUAUGGGAGCCCCAAGCGACAGCUCCAGUUCUACAGGGAGAAAUUCUGCCUUUUG